GUAUAUCACAUAUAUUAUUGUCUCUUUUCGUUAGUCCUGUGGCACAGAUGGCAGUAGCCCUUCUUCCAGAUGAAGAAGUCACAUCUCUAAAAGAUGAAGUGACUUAGCCCAUGUCUUUCUUUUUUUUUUUUUUUUGAGAUGGAGUUUCGCUGUCGCCCAGGCUGGAGUGCAAUGGCGCAAUCUCGGCUCACUACAACCUCCACCUCCUGGGUUCACGCCAUUCACCUGCCUCAGCCUCCCGAGUAGCUGGGAGUACAGGUGCCCGCCACCACGCUCAGCUAACUUUUUGUGUUUUUAGUAGAUACGGGGUUUCACCAUCUUGGCCAGGCUGGUCUCGAACUCCUGACCUCAGGUGAUCCACCCACCUCGGCCUCCCAAAGUGCUGGGAUUACAGGCGUGAGCCGCCGCGCCCGGCUGCCCAUGGCUUUCCAUUAGAAAAAUGCAGAUCUUGUAUUUGAGCCUAGUUUUCCUCAGGCUGAAUGCUCUUCCUCUGACUCCACAGCCGGCCUACAGAGGGAACGUAGAAUAAUGAGGAGAGACACCGAAGCAAGUCAGGAUGUGUGCACCAGCAGGAAACGUGGCUGGAACGUUAACAAGCAGAGGGGACGCUCCAGCCAUGGCCUCUAUCUGAACUACGCUGAAAAGCUCCAGAAAACCAAACCAAACAAAACAUCCACUCUUGGCUGGUGAAUUUGAAAUACCAAAAUUCUUCUGAAACUCCAGAGGUGUGAUGGGCCGGUUCCCAGCGCCUUAUCCUCUCUCGGACCCGAUCACCACAGGGAUACAGCGCUGGAUUCCUAUCCUCUUGGGCCUGGGGCAUCUCAUUGUUCAACUUCCACUUAUGAGUGAGAACACGUGGGUUUGGUUUUCUAGAACAUCCUAUUUCUAGGGGAAGUGGAACCGAACCUGAGCUGUUGCAUUCGGCUCUUCCCCGUCUCAGGAUGCCGCAGUCCCAGCAUAUUCUACAGUUAUUCUGGAAAACCGCAAGCAAGAAAAGGGGGAAGACUGGUUGGUUCGAGGCCACCCGGAGAACUGUCCUGCAUCAGCCCUUGUUAAAAUGAAAGCUGAGGCCGGGCGCGGUGGCUCAAGCCUGUAAUCCCAGCACUUUGGGAGGCCGAGACGGGCGGAUCACAAGGUCAGGAGAUCGAGACCAUCCUGGCUGACACGGUGAAACCCCAUCUCUACUAAAAAAUACAAAAAACUAGCCGGGUGAGGUGGCUGGCGCCUGUAGUCCCAGCUACUCGGGAGGCUGAGGCAGGAGAAUGGCGUGAACCCGGGAGGCGGAGCUUGCAGUGAGCUGAGAUCCGGCCACUGCACUCCAGCCUGGGCGACAGAGCGAGACUCCGUCUCAAAAAAAAAAAAAAAAAAAAAAAAAAAAAAAAAAAUGAAAGCUGAGCAGCAGCAGAUAAAGUGAAUUCACUCUUUGGAACUGCCUGCUCUGUGAACCGGGAAGGGACGCCGGGCUUCGGUUACACUUUUGGGGACAUUGUGGCAUUUAAUGAGGAAUUACCUACCUACUGGGAUUCAUUUGCAAGAAAGAUUGCAAUCUACCCUUCAAAUAAUGCAUCUAGGUACUUAACAGUCAAAAUCUGCCUACCUAAUUUAAAAUACAAAGGUUUUUACAUCAUCCCAUAUUCUCUCCUAGUUCAUUGACAGACAUGCGUGUUUCGCUGUUUAACAUGCAUCAAUACUUUUAGUUCUACUUUUUAACUUAUUUGUUACUCUUUCAGAUGGAUUUUUUAAAUGAGAAUGUCCAUGUAACAACACAGUUUACGUCUGUCAUAUUAUAGUAUUUGAGGUGUACCUAUAUAAUUUUUUUUUUUUUUUUGAGACAGAAUCUCACUCUGUCACCCAGGCUGGAGUGCAGUGGUGCGAUCUCAGCUCACUGCAACCUCCACCUCCCGAGUUCAAGCAAUUCUCCUGUUUCAGCCUCCUGAGUAGCUGGGACUAUAGGUGCACACCACCACACCUGGCUUUUUUUUUUUUUUUGUAUUUUUAGUAGAGACGGUGUUUCACCAUGUUGGACAGGCUGGUCUCAUACUCCUGACCUCAGGUGAUCCACCUGCCUCAGCCUCCCAAAGUGGUGGGAUUACAGGCAUGAGCCACUGUACCCUGCCUGACUAUACACUCUUACACCAUAGUUUGAUCAAAGAUUACUGUCACGUUUAUGAAUUAAAUCAAAUUUUUGAAUAUACAAAUAUCAUUUUUAUAAGCAUAUUUUUGUGUGAUUUGCUCUCCUAGCCUAUAUUCUUAAAAAAUAUAUCCAGCAAUAAUUACAGGUAGUUUUAAAGUUAAUUUUAAUUUCUUUAAUUUGUCAAAUUGCUAUGAAAAUGUAAAAGAUUGUCUAGAAAGAAAAUCAAUAAGGAAACAAUGGACUUUAAUUACACUUUAAACCAAAUGCACCUAACAAACAUAUACAGAACAUUUAAUCCAAUAUCAAGGGAAUCCAUGUAAUUCUCAAGUGCAUGCAGACCAUUCUCCAGGAUAGAUUAUUUUGUACGUUAGACUACAAAAAAAGUCUUAACAAAAUUAAGACUAUUGAAGUCAAUCAAGUAUCUUUUCUGAUCACCAUAGUAUGAAACCAGAAAUUGAUAACAGGAGAAAUCCUAAAAAAUU
Molecule: long non-coding RNA, 2616 nt
Organism: Macaca mulatta (Rhesus monkey)
Lineage: Eukaryota; Metazoa; Chordata; Mammalia; Primates; Cercopithecidae
Source: Ensembl